Molecule: non-coding RNA, 1977 nt
Organism: Cyanistes caeruleus (blue tit)
Lineage: Eukaryota; Metazoa; Chordata; Aves; Passeriformes; Paridae
Source: RefSeq, a predicted model, not a curated record
CAGAUCCCACAGCCAUCCAUUGCUUUAAGAGAGGAAGCUUACAGCCUAAUUAUGAGUCAGCACAGAAUUUAUAAGAACUAAUCUACAUGGGAACCUUAUGCAUUUACCAUGUCCUGUGGAACAGGAGAUAAUACUGUGAACUGGUGAAGAUGCUGAGAUUAAAAUCUCCUUUGACCUCUUGCCUCAAGCAAUCCCCAAACUGUCAACAGAAGCUGCGGCCAAACUGUUGUACUGGAGCAUAAACACACGGAGUGUGGCUGAUGAAGCAAGAAAUAAAAUGAGUGGGCAGAGCAGGGGCAACAACUUUGCCUCUUUUUUCUAAGCAAGUGUUGUAAGGACUGCAAAAUGUACAAUGGCACAUCUAUGGCACGGCCAGUGCAAGACAUGAGAGAGGCAGGGAGUUGAUACACAUCUGCUUCUGUAUGUCUCUGACAUGGCUGCAGCUAGAAUGUGAUUCAGUCUCAGAUUAACAAACAGUGGCUACUCUGUAUUCCCAUGCACCAGUUGUAAAAAACCACUCAAAAUACCUGUACAUCAGUUUUCUGCUACUGGAGUCAUCUCCCAGCAGCAUUGUCAUUCACACAGGCAGAAAUUAAGCUGCUUCUUUAAGGAACUUCCCUUCUGUUUUUCAGAGUGCAAAGGAAAUGAAUGGGAAACAUGUUUAGUGUUCCUAAUCAUAAGUGACAUGUUUUGUAGAGAUCUACUUCUGUAAAGACUUCUGUAAUGGGUGAGAAAGGAGCAAAGAAGAAAAAAAGUUUUCUUCUAUUUCUUGUUUAAGGAGAAGGCUCCAGAGUAAUACUCACUCCUUUGUCUCCAUUACAGAUGAGGGUAAGUCAGACAAAAAUGAAAAGACUUUCCAAGGUUUUGCUACACAGUAAGGAUUUAAACUCAGAACUUCUGAAUACAACCCCUGUGCCUGAGCCACACAUUCAUUUUCUUCUCUGUAUUCCUCCACAAUCUUAGGCCAUGUGGCCACUGUUGGUGAAAUGAAAAACAGGUGCAGAUCCAUGAACAGAUGGGAGACCAGCCCUGGCUGAUCUCUGGAGGAUAAUACAACGUUGUUUUCCAGCAAAGAGGAUUCCAAAGAACCACAGAGGCAGCACCCCUGCCCUAAAACUAAAGCUGCUCUGUCUCACACUAAAUGUUAUCUCCACCAGCCCCGCAAGUGGGAGUUUUGAGGAGUGGUCUGUUGUCUAUCAGCAAAGGACACUGCCUCACUGACCUCUCGGAUUUGCAAUAUCGACAUCUCUGUUUUUCAGGCAUGCCUAUAAAGAUUGUAGAAGACUAAUUGCAAUUCCAUUCUUAGCAGUAACUACAGCCAAUGUUUCUAAGUUGCUGGAACAUGAAAUUUCUUCCCUUGAGUAGACAUCUUUGGAAUGCCUAACUCUCAAAAAAUGCCAUUAGCCAUAUGCAGCAUCUUUCUCUGGGAAAAUCACUAGUGGUAUGGGACAAAUCUCCAGGUAAGAUAAAUAAUAUAUUUGUUCUGGAUGUGUAAGGAGAGAUCUACUUUUCAUUUCCAGUGCAUGUCUUAUUCCACAAGAAUUGGUUAAACAAAGAACUUGGACUGCUUUUUUAAUGGGAGAGUGAUAGUAGAUUACUAACAGGACAAUUGCCUGGGCCUAAGCACAGGAUGGAGUGCAAAGAAUUCCCUGCCUUGUGUGACCCACAGUUGUCCCUGCAAGACACAUUUCCCCUCCGUGUGUCACCUGACACAUCAGCCAGAAGUGUCAGCAAAGGCAGGGCAGUCCUCACUGUGCACAGAGCACAACCCAAGAAGAAAGUACAUGCAAGAGAACAGGGAGUGUUUCUUAGGAUCUAGGAAUAGUUUAAAUUGGACAGGACCUUUAAAGACCAUCUAGUCUAACCCUCCUGGCUGUGAGCAGCAUCAUCUUCAUCUAGAUAAGGUUGCUCAGUGACCCAUCCAACCUGACCUUGAAGAUUUCCUGGGAUGGGGCAUCUAUACCUCUCUGGGCAACC